GGGGAUGUUCUGGUUUUGACAGCAGGGGAACUUGAAGUGCAAGCAUGUCGAGCGUUGAGUUGGUGGCUCGUUAAUCCCAAAGCUCAAGCCUUAACUGGCAAUAACAACUAUGCUCUCGCUGCCUGAUUUCACCAAGUGAAACGGCUUAAUCCAGCAGAUCAAGGAAUUUGCAGGACGAGAAUCUCGCAAAAAGUUUGCUUUUCGGCUUUUGAUUUCGAGGUUUCAUUUUUAGAAAAGAUAGUAUGCGCGACGCCUUUAAACGUAUGCGAAAUAUUUAAAGGCUAAGGAUAAAAGCGAUUGCUUUUUUUCCCAUUUUAUCCUGACAGACGAAAAAAAGAUAAACAUGUAGAAAACAUUUUGAUUACCUGUUUGGACGCGGGUUCGACUCCCGCCAUCUCCACAA
This 403-nucleotide transfer-messenger RNA is filed under the name Prevotellaceae bacterium. It matches the Rfam family "transfer-messenger RNA". From Rfam's summary of the family: Bacterial tmRNA, also known as 10Sa RNA or SsrA, is named for its dual tRNA and mRNA-like properties. Its role is to liberate the mRNA from a stalled ribosome. The record is from RNAcentral. Lineage: Bacteria; Pseudomonadati; Bacteroidota; Bacteroidia; Bacteroidales; Prevotellaceae.